AUUGAACGCUGGCGGUAUGCUUUACACAUGCAAGUCGAACGGCAGCACGGGGGCAACCCUGGUUGCGAGUGGCGAACGGGUGGGUAAUACAUCGGAACGUGCCCGGUCGUGGGGGAUAACGUAGCGAAAGUUACGCUAAUACCGCAUACGAUCUGAGGAUGAAAGCGGGGGACCUUCGGGCCUUGCGCGAUCGGAGCGGCCGAUGUCCGAUUAGCUAGUUGGUGGGGUAAAGGCCUACCAAGCCGACGAUCUGUAGCUGGUCUGAGAGGACGACCAGCCACACUGGAACUGAGACACGGCCCAGACUCCUACGGGAGGCAGCAGUGGGGAAUAUUGGACAAUGGGCGCAAGCCUGAUCCAGCCAUUCCGCGUGCAGGACGAAGGCCUUCGGGUUGUAAACUGCUUUUGUAUGGAACGAAAAGGCUCUGGCUAAUACCUGGGGGUCAUGACGGUACCGAAAGAAUAAGCACCGGCUAACUACGUG
This 484-nucleotide ribosomal RNA is filed under the name uncultured bacterium. RNAcentral's name for it is "partial 16S ribosomal RNA". It matches the Rfam family "Bacterial small subunit ribosomal RNA", at positions 30 to 507 of the family's 1533-position model. The record is from RNAcentral.